AUWYAGGGUCCCCAAAUACGGCCCUGUUUUYCCCGCAGGCCCCCSYURAGGGGGKGRURRAUAUYUUSYRMWRRRACCCUUAGAGUUUGAUCCUGGCUCARAACGAACGCUSGYGGCGUGCUUAACACAUGCAAGUCGAACGUGAUCCGGAGCUUGCUCCGGUGAAAGUGGCGCACGGGUGAGUAACGCGUGGAUAAUCUGCCCUGGUAUCUGGGAUAACAUCUCGAAAGGGGUGCUAAUACCGGAUAAGCCUACGGACUCUUCGGAGUCUGCAGGAAAAGGUGGCCUCUAUUUAUAAGCUACCGUAUCAGGAUGAGUCCGCGUACCAUUAGCUAGUUGGUGGGGUAAUGGCCCACCAAGGCUACGAUGGUUAGCUGGUCUGAGAGGAUGAUCAGCCACACUGGAACUGAGACACGGUCCAGACUCCUACGGGAGGCAGCAGUGGGGAAUUUUGCGCAAUGGGGGAAACCCUGACGCAGCAACGCCGCGUGAGUGAUGAAGGCUUUCGGGUCGUAAAGCUCUGUCAGAGGGGAAGAAAUGAGACUGGCUAAUAUCCAGUUUUCUUGACGGUACCCUCAAAGGAAGCACCGGCUAACUCCGUGCCAGCAGYCGCGGUAAUAC
RNAcentral lists this ribosomal RNA (621 nucleotides) under uncultured Geobacteraceae bacterium. RNAcentral describes it as "bacterial SSU rRNA". The stretch from base 75 to 621 matches the Rfam family "Bacterial small subunit ribosomal RNA", at positions 1 to 526 of the family's 1533-position model. The record is from RNAcentral. Lineage: Bacteria; Pseudomonadati; Thermodesulfobacteriota; Desulfuromonadia; Geobacterales; Geobacteraceae.